RNAcentral lists this ribosomal RNA (602 nucleotides) under uncultured bacterium. RNAcentral describes it as "bacterial SSU rRNA". It matches the Rfam family "Bacterial small subunit ribosomal RNA", at positions 91 to 680 of the family's 1533-position model. The record is from RNAcentral.
AAGAGUGGCGAACGGGUGAGUAACACGUGGGUAACCUACCUCUUAGCAGGGGAUAACAUUUGGAAACAAGUGCUAAUACCGUAUAAUACCAACAACCGCAUGGUUGUUGAUUGAAAGAUGGUUCUGCUAUCACUAAGAGAUGGACCCGCGGUGCAUUAGCUAGUUGGUAAGGUAACGGCUUACCAAGGCGAUGAUGCAUAGCCGAGUUGAGAGACUGAUCGGCCACAAUGGGACUGAGACACGGCCCAUACUCCUACGGGAGGCAGCAGUAGGGAAUCUUCCACAAUGGGCGCAAGCCUGAUGGAGCAACGCCGCGUGUGUGAUGAAGGGUUUCGGCUCGUAAAACACUGUUAUAAGAGAAGAACGGCACUGAGAGUAACUGUUCAGUGUGUGACGGUAUCUUACCAGAAAGGAACGGCUAAAUACGUGCCAGCAGCCGCGGUAAUACGUAUGUUCCAAGCGUUAUCCGGAUUUAUUGGGCGUAAAGCGAGCGCAGACGGUUAUUUAAGUCUGAAGUGAAAGCCCUCAGCUCAACUGAGGAAUGGCUUUGGAAACUGGAUGACUUGAGUGCAGUAGAGGAAAGUGGAACUCCAUGUGUAGCG